UUAAUUGCGUCAGGCAACCUACAGUCCUGAUAGGUAGUUGGACACAGCUACUUGUGGUGGUCUCCUGAUAGCCACCGAAGCCAACACAGAAACACCAUUUCUCGGCGAAAUCAUUGAAGGGUUGGUGGACUAUAAGGUGACCCCAGCCAAAUCCGGUGGAUGGAAAUCCGCAUUCUUCAUCAUUGGGAGUCCGGUGCACAGAGCAUUAUGUAUUAGCGGGGUAGCCUAUCCUAAUGCAAGCAUUAGAUGACUGCUUCCACAUCAAGGACCCUAAAUAAUUCGGGGCGUCAUUUUUGGCGUUGUAAAGUGCCCGAAGAUAUGGGCGGUUGCAAACAUUUUAGUUGGGAAGAUAGCAUUCCCGUUGAUAAAAUGGUGGCGGCGAAGAUUAAAAAGCCUCCUGUUAAUAGAGAUACCCCGACCUUACGUAUCACUAGAGAUACCGUGAAGUUUGACUUGCAGUUUAAGCUUAUGGAAGCUCAAAAAAAAAUUUGACCUUUUGGAGGUCUUGCUAAAAGAAUCCAAAGAAAAACAAAGUUUUUUCAAGGCUAACCUUAGAGACACUCAACACGAGAAAAAUGCUUUGAAAGAAAAACUGAAAUUUUGGAAGAUUAUUUCUGCUAUGUUGAUGUUGUUUAUUAUUUCUAUGUAUUUUGCUUAUUAAGUUUAAUAUUUCUAUGUAUUUUGUUUUGCUAUGUAUUUUCUAUUUAAUUUGUUAUUUUUAUGUACUUUGUUUUUACUAGUUGCACAUUUUCAUUUAUUAUGUAAUCCGCACCCUUUAUAUACCAAUUUAUUUGUUUUUUUUUUUUUUUUUUUUUGAAUUGUGAAUUGUUGAAAUUUUUAUGUAUUAU
Long non-coding RNA from Lycium ferocissimum, 848 nucleotides. RefSeq lists it as uncharacterized. Lineage: Eukaryota; Viridiplantae; Streptophyta; Magnoliopsida; Solanales; Solanaceae. The record is from RefSeq and is a predicted model, not a curated record. The transcript is spliced from 3 exons.